CGCGUAGGCGGCAUAGAAAGCUUGAUGUGAAAGAUCCCGGCUCAACCGGGGAGACGCAUUGGGAACUACUGAGCUAGAGUCUAGGAGGGGAUGCUGGAAUUCCUGGUGUAGGGGUGAAAUCUGUAGAUAUCAGGAAGAACACCGGUGGCGAAGGCGAGCAUCUGGCCAUAGACUGACGCUGAGGCGCGAAAGCGUGGGGAGCGAACAGGAUUAGAUACCCUGGUAGUCC
This 229-nucleotide ribosomal RNA is filed under the name uncultured bacterium. RNAcentral's name for it is "partial 16S ribosomal RNA". It matches the Rfam family "Bacterial small subunit ribosomal RNA", at positions 568 to 796 of the family's 1533-position model. The record is from RNAcentral.